This 465-nucleotide ribosomal RNA is filed under the name uncultured bacterium. Its description in RNAcentral is "partial 16S ribosomal RNA". It matches the Rfam family "Bacterial small subunit ribosomal RNA", at positions 28 to 507 of the family's 1533-position model. The record is from RNAcentral.
GACGAACGCUGGCGGCGUGCUUAACACAUGCAAGUCGUACGGUAAGGCCCUUUCGGGGGUACACGAGUGGCGAACGGGUGCGUAACACGUGAGUAACCUGCCCACAACUUUGGGAUAACGCUAGGAAACUGGUGCUAAUACUGGAUAUGUGCCCCUGCUGCAUGGUGGGGGUUGGAAAGCUCCGGCGGUUGUGGAUGGACUCGCGGCCUAUCAGCUUGUUGGUGGGGUAGUGGCCUACCAAGGCGGCGACGGGUAGCCGGCCUGGGAGGGUGACCGGCCACAGUGGGGCGGAGAUACGGCCCAGACGCCGACGGGAGGCAGCAGGGGGGAAGAGUGCACAAGGGGCGCAAGCCGGAUGCAGCAACGCCGCGUGCGGGAGGACGGGCUUCGGGUUGUAAACCGCUUUCAGCAGGGACGAAGCUUUUUGUGACGGUACCUGCAGAAGAAGCACCGGCUAACUACGUG